This is a small nucleolar RNA of Cuculus canorus (common cuckoo), 74 nucleotides long. RefSeq annotates it as small nucleolar RNA SNORD53/SNORD92. The record is from RefSeq and is a predicted model, not a curated record. NCBI's taxonomy places the organism in Eukaryota, Metazoa, Chordata, Aves, Cuculiformes, Cuculidae. The transcript has a single exon.
AUGCAGUGAUGAUCUCUUAACUGGUAACUGAUGGUUGAGUGAAGAUGUGAAUUUCCUUGGCUGUGUCUGAGCAU